This 452-nucleotide ribosomal RNA is filed under the name Pseudoramibacter alactolyticus. Its description in RNAcentral is "bacterial SSU rRNA". It matches the Rfam family "Bacterial small subunit ribosomal RNA", at positions 28 to 480 of the family's 1533-position model. The record is from RNAcentral. Lineage: Bacteria; Bacillati; Bacillota; Clostridia; Eubacteriales; Eubacteriaceae.
GACGAACGCUGGCGGUAUGCUUAACACAUGCAAGUCGAACGAGAAGUUUUUUAUUGAACCUUCGGGGGAUAUAAGAGACAGACAGUGGCGAACGGGUGAGUAACGCGUGGGCAACCUACCUAUCGGAGCGGGAUAGCCUCGAGAAAUCGGGAGUAAAACCGCAUAACACGGAUAUAUCGCAUGAUGAAUCCGUCAAAACUCCGGUGCCGAUAGAUGGGCCCGCGUCUGAUUAGCUAGUUGGUAAGGUAAGGGCUUACCAAGGCAACGAUCAGUAGCCGGUCUGAGAGGGCGAACGGCCACACUGGAACUGAGACACGGUCCAGACUCCUACGGGAGGCAGCAGUGGGGAAUAUUGCGCAAUGGGGGCAACCCUGACGCAGCAAUACCGCGUGAGUGAAGAAGGUUUUCGGAUCGUAAAGCUCUGUUAUUGGGGAAGAAGCAGGACGGUACCC